GGAGAGGGGAUGGAGGAGGUCUCAGGUCCUCUUGCUCACCCAUCAGCUGUGUAGUGUCUGAAGUGAUUAAGGAGCUUGGGGAGGCCUCCCAGGCUGGUGUGCUCCACUGGCCCUCAGAAAGACUUGUCGCCUCACCAAGCCUCAGUGUUCUCAUCUGAAGAAUAGAGCGGGCAAGGCCUUUCUCCUACAUACUCAGAAUGUUGGAAGCCAAGCUUGCACAUUCUAGGCAGCCAUUUGGAAGAUUCUUCUCUGUGCAUGACCAGCUGAAAAGGAAAAACCCCGAAACAUUGGCACUGUGAUUUCUCCAUGUGAACAGUUUAGUUCGCCGAGGUGGACAUGCCUCAUUCAUGCUUAUGGAGUGACCGACCAGCCUUUAGUGACACCCCCUGAAAUGUGAGUCAUCCAUGGGUCACUAGUCAUUGGAGAAGAGCCCCUCACACAAAAAUUGGAGCUCAGACCACAAACAACAACAACAAUCCAAAAAAUAAAAAAAUGAAAAAUUAGGAGCAGAGACUAAAUGGAA
Molecule: long non-coding RNA, 523 nt
Organism: Gorilla gorilla gorilla (western lowland gorilla)
Lineage: Eukaryota; Metazoa; Chordata; Mammalia; Primates; Hominidae
Exons: 3
Source: RefSeq, a predicted model, not a curated record